UGGGUGUGGUCGAUGUCCAGGGAGCCCAGCAGCUUCUCUGUGGCCUUCCUGCUGUCCAUGAAGGUGUCAUCAGGGAUGGCACCGGGGUUCAGGAUGCGGUACCUGGGACAGCAGGGAGAGCUGGUGAGGAGAGGCUGGGCAGGGAGCCAAGGACUUGAGG
Molecule: long non-coding RNA, 160 nt
Organism: Pipistrellus kuhlii (Kuhl's pipistrelle)
Lineage: Eukaryota; Metazoa; Chordata; Mammalia; Chiroptera; Vespertilionidae
Exons: 3
Source: RefSeq, a predicted model, not a curated record